RNAcentral lists this ribosomal RNA (236 nucleotides) under uncultured bacterium. RNAcentral describes it as "partial 16S ribosomal RNA". It matches the Rfam family "Bacterial small subunit ribosomal RNA", at positions 524 to 754 of the family's 1533-position model. The record is from RNAcentral.
CACGUAGGGCGCAAGCGUUGUCCGGAAUUAUUGGGCGUAAAGAGCUCGUAGGCGGUCUGUUGCGUCGGCUGUGAAAACCCGGGGCUCAACUCCGGGCCUGCAGCCGAUACGGGCAGACUAGAGUUCGGCAGGGGAGACUGGAAUUCCGUGGUGUAGCGGUGAAAUGCGCAGAUAAUCAGGAGGAACACCGGUGGCGAAGGCGGGUCUCUGGGCCGAAUGACUGACGCUGGAGGAGC